GAUGAACGCUGGCGGCGUGCCUAAUACAUGCAAGUCGAGCGAACAGACGAGGAGCUUGCUCCUCUGCCGUUAGCGGCGGACGGGUGAGUAACACGUGGAUAACCUACCUAUAAGACUGGGAUAACUUCGGGAACCCGGAGCUAAUACCGGAUAAUAUAUUGAACCGCAUGGUUCAAUAGUGAAAGACGGUUUUGCUGUCACUUAUAGAUGGAUCCGCGCCGCAUUAGCUAGUUGGUAAGGUAACGGCUUACCAAGGCAACGAUGCGUAGCCGACCUGAGAGGGUGAUCGGCCACACUGGAACUGAGACACGGUCCAGACUCCUACGGGAGGCAGCAGUAGGGAAUCUUCCGCAAUGGGCGAAAGCUUGACGGAGCAACGCCGCGUGAGUGAUGAAGGUCUUCGGAUCGUAAAACUCUGUUAUUAGGGAAGAACAAAUGUGUAAGUAACUAUGCACGUCUUGACGGUACCUAAUCAGAAAGCCACGGCUAACUACGUG
This 497-nucleotide ribosomal RNA is filed under the name uncultured bacterium. Its description in RNAcentral is "partial 16S ribosomal RNA". It matches the Rfam family "Bacterial small subunit ribosomal RNA", at positions 28 to 507 of the family's 1533-position model. The record is from RNAcentral.